Benincasa hispida (wax gourd) is the source of this 905-nucleotide long non-coding RNA. RefSeq lists it as uncharacterized. The record is from RefSeq and is a predicted model, not a curated record. NCBI's taxonomy places the organism in Eukaryota, Viridiplantae, Streptophyta, Magnoliopsida, Cucurbitales, Cucurbitaceae.
UAUUAUUGUUGAGGCCCAGCCCAGGAGUUGCACCGACGCAAUCAACAAAAACCCUAAACCAGUCGUCCACAGAAACCCUAAUUCAUCAGUCGACAGCCUAUAAACUUACCAUUCCACAUCGUCGUGUCCUCCAUUCUUGGUUUUCAUCACUUCAGUUUAAGUUUUUAUCAGAAACCUUUGAUUUUGUGUUUGUCUGCAUCUUUCCUUUGUGUAUACAUGCCUUGUCUGAGCAGUGUUGAUUUUUGGCAGCACAUUAUGUGAGAUCAUGGUACUUGUCUUUUAACUUUGCUCCAUUCUGUUCGUUGAUUUUCUUUUUGCAUUAGCCUCUUGAAUUUUGGUACCUUCUUAAGAUAAAUUCUGGUGAGUUUCUUGAUUAUUAUUAAGACUAUACUUGAUGAAGUUUAGUGAAUCACUCUAGUAUCUUUAAUAUGGUCAUAACUUCCUUGUACUAUCUCUUUGGAAUCUUAAUAGUUUUAUAUAAACUUAUAAUUAGUGUUGACAUUAUUUGGUUGGGGAGCAAGAGCAUUAAUCCAUGUACACUUGUGAUUAUGCAAUCUUUUUGGAAAAAGGAUCUUAACAGUGUUCUAUCAUCAUAUGGUGUUUUCAAAUGAUCCUCACUUCAUCCUAAAGAUGCUGCUCGUUGGCAAACCCACUAUAGAAAGAAGAGGAAAAUUUGAAGACAUUCAUUCACCUCAAAGCCUACCUUCUGCUUAUUUAGAUUGAAUGAAAUCACAGAUUUUCAAUCUUCUUUUUGUUUGGACACUUUUAAUUUGAGGACAUUCUCUUUCUUUGGAGCUCCUUUCUGUUUAGAAUUGCUAAUUGUAAUCUCUCAUGGCUAUUUCAGCCUUCUUGUACUUGCAAGAUUUAACCCAUGUUUGAAAUUUCUUCCUCAAACUUUUUACCAA